GAUGAACGCUGGCGGCGUGCCUAAUACAUGCAAGUCGAGCGAACAGAUGAGGAGCUUGCUCUCUUGACGUUAGCGGGUGACGGGCGAGUAACACGUGGAUAACCUUCCUAUAAGACUGGGAUAACUUCGGGAAACCGGAGCUAAUACCGGAUAAUAUAUUGAACCGCAUGGUUCAAUAGUGAAUGACGGCUUUGCUGUUACUUAUAGAUGGAUCCGCGCCGCAUUAGCUAGUUGGUAAGGUAACGGCUUACCAAGGCAACGAUGCGUAGCCGACCUGAGAGGGUGAUCGGCCACACUGGAACUGAGACACGGUCCAGACUCCUACGGGAGGCAGCAGUAGGGAAUCUUCCGCAAUGGGCGAAAGCCUGACGGAGCCACACCGCGUGAGUGAUGAAGGUCUUCGGAUCGUAAAGCUCUGUUAUUAGGAAAGAACAGAUGUGUAAGUAACUAUGCACGUCUUGACGGUACCUAAUCAGAAAGCCACGGCUAACUACGUG
RNAcentral lists this ribosomal RNA (497 nucleotides) under uncultured bacterium. Its description in RNAcentral is "partial 16S ribosomal RNA". It matches the Rfam family "Bacterial small subunit ribosomal RNA", at positions 28 to 507 of the family's 1533-position model. The record is from RNAcentral.